RNAcentral lists this ribosomal RNA (328 nucleotides) under uncultured eukaryote. RNAcentral describes it as "partial 18S ribosomal RNA". It matches the Rfam family "Eukaryotic small subunit ribosomal RNA", at positions 1470 to 1796 of the family's 1831-position model. The record is from RNAcentral.
CCCCUAGAUGUUCUGGGCCGCACGCGCGCUACACUGAACAGUUCAACAAGUCUUAACCUUGGCCGAUAGGUCUGGGUAAUCUUUGAACGCUGUUCGUGAUUGGGAUAGACCUUUGCAAUUAUGGGUCUUCAACGAGGAAUUCCUAGUAAACGCAAGUCAUCAGCUUGCAUUGAUUACGUCCCUGCCCUUUGUACACACCGCCCGUCGCACCUACCGAUUGGAUGGUCCGGUGAGAACUCUGGAUUGCGGUCGCUGUGGAGGUUCGCCUUCGCAUCGCUGCGAGAAGUUGAUCGAACCUUAUCAUCUAGAGGAAGUAAAAGUCGUAACA